AACGAACGCUGGCGGCAUGCCUAACACAUGCAAGCCGAACGAAGCCUUCGGGCUUAGUGGCGCACGGGUGCGUAACGCGUGGGAAUCUGCCCUUGGGUUCGGAAUAACAGUUAGAAAUGACUGCUAAUACCGGAUGAUGUCUUCGGACCAAAGAUUUAUCGCCCAAGGAUGAGCCCGCGUAGGAUUAGGUAGUUGGUAGGGUAAUGGCCAACCAAGCCGACGAUCCUUAGCUGGUCUGAGAGGAUGAUCAGCCACACUGGGACUGAGACACGGCCCAGACUCCUACGGGAGGCAGCAGUGGGGAAUAUUGGACAAUGGGCGAAAGCCUGAUCCAGCAAUGCCGCGUGAGUGAUGAAGGCCUUAGGGUUGUAAAGCUCUUUUACCAGGGAUGAUAAUGACAGUACCUGGAGAAUAAGCUCCGGCUAACUCCGUGCCAGCCGCCGCAGUAA
RNAcentral lists this ribosomal RNA (449 nucleotides) under uncultured bacterium. Its description in RNAcentral is "partial 16S ribosomal RNA". It matches the Rfam family "Bacterial small subunit ribosomal RNA", at positions 29 to 523 of the family's 1533-position model. The record is from RNAcentral.